AAUGAUCCUUUGUUCAAUAUCAAAGUUUUAAGAUAGGCAUUCUUUAAAGAUUAUUAGAUGCAUAUCAUCAUGGCACAGCAUGGCAAAAGGAGAUACACAUAUCACCGUUGCCAUGAGAGUGUACAGCAGUCCUGUCUUCCAGAUGCCUUACGAGUAUUCUCUUUGCUUUGCCCUCAGAGACUCUUCCUCGAUAGGAAUGAAUUUUUUGACAAAAACCAGGUAAGGAUGUGUAAAUGGAAACAGUCAGAGUUGCACGCCCCAG
This 262-nucleotide long non-coding RNA is filed under the name Fukomys damarensis (Damara mole-rat). Its description in RNAcentral is "lncRNA (ENSFDAG00000031641.1)". Lineage: Eukaryota; Metazoa; Chordata; Mammalia; Rodentia; Bathyergidae. The record is from RNAcentral.